GGGACUACAACAUGACACGGCUGUUACCACGGUACUGUAGGUACAGGGACAACAUGACACGGCUGUUACCACGGUACUGUAGGUACAGGGACUACAACAUGACACGGCUGUUACCACGGUACUGUAGGUACAGGGACUA
Molecule: non-coding RNA, 139 nt
Organism: Salmo salar (Atlantic salmon)
Lineage: Eukaryota; Metazoa; Chordata; Actinopteri; Salmoniformes; Salmonidae
Source: RefSeq, a predicted model, not a curated record